AAUGAACGCUGGCGGCAGGCCUAACACAUGCAAGUCGAACGGCAGCACAGUAAGUGCUUGCGCUUACGUGUGGAGAGUGGGGGAAGGGUGAGGUAUCUGUCGAACUCUACUUUUUCGUGGGGGAUAAUGUAGGGAAACUUACGCUAAUAACAUAUACGACCUACGGGUAAAAGCAGGGGAUCUUCGGACCUUGCGCUAUUGUAUGAGCCGAUGUCGGAUUAGAUAGUUGGCGGGGUAAAGGCACACAAAGGCCACGCUCCUUAGCUGGUCUGAGAGGGUGAACCGCCACACUGGAAGAGAGAAACGGCCCAGACACCGACGGUAGGAAGCAGUGGAGAAUAUUGCACAAUGGGGGAAAGCCUGAUCCAGCCAUACCGCGUGAAUGAAGAAGGCCUUCGGGUUGUAAAGCCAUUUAGGUGGGAAGGAAGAACAGCAGGUUAAUACCCCGCUAUAAUGACGGUACCCAAAGAAUAAGCACCGGCUAACUUCGUG
Molecule: ribosomal RNA, 492 nt
Filed under: uncultured bacterium
Lineage: Bacteria
Description: partial 16S ribosomal RNA
Rfam family: Bacterial small subunit ribosomal RNA
Source: RNAcentral